AGAGUUUGAUCAUGGCUCAGAAUCAACGCUGGCGGCGUGCCUAACACAUGCAAGUCGAACGAGAAAGUCCCCGCAAGGGGAUGAGUAAAGUGGCGACCGGGUGAGUAACACGUGACUAACCUACCCUGAAGCGGGGAAUAACCUCGGGAAACCGGGGCUAAUACCGCAUACGAUCCUAGGGGGAAGAUCCUUAGGAGGAAACGAGCAAUCGGCUUUAGGAGGGGGUCGCGCCCGAUUACGGUAGUUGGCGGGGUAACGGCCCACCAAGCCUUUGAUCGGUAGCCGGCCUGAGAGGGCGCACGGCCACACUGGAACUGAAACACGGUCCAGACUCCUACGGGAGGCAGC
Molecule: ribosomal RNA, 348 nt
Filed under: uncultured soil bacterium
Lineage: Bacteria
Description: bacterial SSU rRNA
Rfam family: Bacterial small subunit ribosomal RNA
Source: RNAcentral